Non-coding RNA from Gopherus evgoodei (Goodes thornscrub tortoise), 411 nucleotides. Lineage: Eukaryota; Metazoa; Chordata; Testudines; Testudinidae. The record is from the annotation of a RefSeq genome assembly.
GUCUGGAUUCCUACCAUGGCCUGGGCCCUUCUGCUGCUCACGCUGCUCACUUACUGCUCAGAUUCCAGCUCUCAGCCUGUGCUGACUCAGACGCCCUCGGUAUCCGUGUCCCCCGGAGAGAAUGUGAGACUGGCCUGCACCAUGCCCUCAGGUUACAGCAGUCCCAGCUACAGAGUGGAAUGGUACCAGCAGAAGCCAGGCAGUGCCCUGCGGUUCGUGUACCACUAUCAUACUAGCAGUAGCCAGGGCAGGGGCACAGGGAUCCCAGCACGAUUCACCGUCUCCCCUGACACCUCCAACAACCUCUGGAAUUUAGUCAUCUCUGGGGUCCAAGCAGAGGAUGAGGAUGAGUAUUACUGUGCCACAUGGGAUGGUCGUAGUAAGACUCAUCACAGUGAUACAGUGAGAUAG